Long non-coding RNA from Cavia porcellus (domestic guinea pig), 699 nucleotides. RefSeq lists it as uncharacterized. NCBI's taxonomy places the organism in Eukaryota, Metazoa, Chordata, Mammalia, Rodentia, Caviidae. The transcript is spliced from 3 exons. The record is from RefSeq and is a predicted model, not a curated record.
AUUCUUUACCACAUACUGGAUAAAAUUCACCGGUGCACUUAUUGUAUCCUAACAUUGUUGUUGUUAUUAAGCAGCUGUGAUGUUUACCUGGGCUCCUUAUUGCUCUGUUCAUCAGACUGUUUCCUUCUAAUGCAUGUGGUUCCGGGACAUCAAUGGACACCACAUAUCCUUUAAGGGUCACAUCUCAUUUUAUUUACGGAUGUUACCAUUUACUUUUGUAUAUUCAAACUAUCUCCAUAAUAUAUAAUUUUGUGAGUAACUCCUUUCAGUUACUCAGUUUUUAAUGCACACUCUUGCAGGGUUUGGUUACUGCUGGAGGAAACUGGGCCUGGUGAGGGCCUGGUCUCUUAUUUAAGGCUUUGUACCGUGACCUGCCUGCAGUGCCUCCAUCACCUCGCCUGCACCCUGUAAACACCUGUCCUGCUCCAUAGCUAUGGAUACGAAUAUAGAUGAACAUUGGAUGGAUCAGAGGAGCGUGAAAAGGAUGUGCAAGUGACUGACAAAAUGCAGGAAGCCAAUAGCAGGACAUACAACAGAGAGGGUCUUCACUGAAAUUCAGGAAGUUCUUAGAGAGGUGGUGACCUUUGAGGAUGUGGUCAUGAACUUCAGCAAUGAGGAGUGGACUUUGUUGAGUCCAUCCCAAAAGAACCUCUACAGAGACGUGAUGGGCGAAACCUUUAGGAACAGGACUGCAAUUGG